GACGAACGCUGGCGGCGUGCUUAACACAUGCAAGUCGAACGGAAAGGCCCUGCUUUUGUGGGGUGCUCGAGUGGCGAACGGGUGAGUAACACGUGAGUAACCUGCCCUUGACUUUGGGAUAACUUCAGGAAACUGGGGCUAAUACCGGAUAGGAGCUCCUGCUGCAUGGUGGGGGUUGGAAAGUUUCGGCGGUUGGGGAUGGACUCGCGGCUUAUCAGCUUGUUGGUGGGGUAGUGGCUUACCAAGGCUUUGACGGGUAGCCGGCCUGAGAGGGUGACCGGCCACAUUGGGGCUGAGAUACGGGUCAGACUCCUACGGGAGGAAGCAGGGGGGAAGAGUGCACAAUGGGCGGAAGCCGGAUGCCGCAACGCCGCGUGAGGGAGGACGGCCGUCGGUUUGUAAAACGCUUUCGCCUGUGACGAAGCGUGAGGGACGGUAAUGGGUAAAGAAGCACCGGCUAGCUACGUG
Molecule: ribosomal RNA, 468 nt
Filed under: uncultured bacterium
Lineage: Bacteria
Description: partial 16S ribosomal RNA
Rfam family: Bacterial small subunit ribosomal RNA
Source: RNAcentral